RNAcentral lists this unclassified non-coding RNA (582 nucleotides) under Hevea brasiliensis (rubber tree). The record is from RNAcentral. Lineage: Eukaryota; Viridiplantae; Streptophyta; Magnoliopsida; Malpighiales; Euphorbiaceae.
GGGAAAGUUGGUUAUUGCGUUUAUAUCCAUAAUAUACACAGACCUCAAUUUUGCUGGGAAAGUUUUAUUACAUUUAUAUACAUAAAAUACACAGACUUCUCUUUACAGGAAAUAGAUGGGGCUCUGAACCACCUACAUCAACCUAGAAGCUCAUGAACAUUUGUCUCAUAAACAUGAAGCUUUUAUUCAUCAAGCAACAUUGAAGGAUCCAGCUGCGUUCUCCACAAACUUCCUCGCCCCCUUGAACCAUCUCUUAUCCCCAGCCUGAGCCUUGCAGAUGAACAACUUGCCCGACUGCACUGUGGCCGUUAUCAGCUGGUGUUUCCCUCCCUCGGUUCCAUCCGCCGUCCGUGUCAACACCGAGAUCGAGUAGUACGGCUUUCCACCAUUCUCCACAGUCUUAGCCUCCAAGAUGUUAGCAGUUGCCACCGCGUUCGGAUCGAAACCACCCUCUGAGUCUGUUUUGCCUCCGUAGACCUGUUUUCCUAACAAGAAAUCAACCUGAGAGAGGAACUCCUCAGGAGAACCAAAAUCCUUGAUCGACUUCUUAUCAGUCUUCGUGAUAAUGACCGAGACAUUGCU